GACGAACGCUGGCGGCGUGCUUAACACAUGCAAGUCGAACGCAAAGUCCCUGCUUUUGUUUGGUGCUCCAGUGGCGAACAGGUGAGUAACACGGGAUUAACCUGCCCUUGCCUUUGUGAUAACUGCGGGAAACUAGGGCUAAUACCGGAUAGGAGCUCCUGCUGCUUGGUAUGGGUUGGAAAUUUUCGGCGGGUGGGGAUGGACUCGCGGCUUAUCAGCUUGUUGGUGGAGUAGUUGCUUACCAAGGCUUUGACGGGUAGCCGGCCUGAGAGGGUGACAGGCCACAUUGGGCUUGAGAAGGGGGCAAGAGUCCUACGGGAGCCAUCAGUGGGAAAUAUUGCACACUGCGCGGAAGCAUGAUAGAGCAACGUCGCGUGCUGGAUCACGGCCUUCGGGGUGUAACCCGUUUUAGCCUGUGAAGAAGAGUGAGUGACGGUAAUGGGUAAAAAAGCAAGGGCUAACUACGUG
This 468-nucleotide ribosomal RNA is filed under the name uncultured bacterium. RNAcentral describes it as "partial 16S ribosomal RNA". It matches the Rfam family "Bacterial small subunit ribosomal RNA", at positions 28 to 507 of the family's 1533-position model. The record is from RNAcentral.